This 724-nucleotide ribosomal RNA is filed under the name uncultured Actinomycetes bacterium. RNAcentral's name for it is "bacterial SSU rRNA". It matches the Rfam family "Bacterial small subunit ribosomal RNA", at positions 50 to 772 of the family's 1533-position model. Lineage: Bacteria; Bacillati; Actinomycetota; Actinomycetes. The record is from RNAcentral.
AACACAUGCAAGUCGAACGCUGAAGCCCAGCUUGCUGGGUGGAUGAGUGGCGAACGGGUGAGUAACACGUGAGUAACCUGCCCCCUUCUUUGGGAUAACGCCCGGAAACGGGUGCUAAUACUGGAUAUUCACUGAUCUUCGCAUGGGGGUUGGUGGAAAGGUUUUUUCUGGUGGGGGAUGGGCUCGCGGCCUAUCAGCUUGUUGGUGGGGUGAUGGCCUACCAAGGCUUUGACGGGUAGCCGGCCUGAGAGGGUGACCGGUCACAUUGGGACUGAGAUACGGCCCAGACUCCUACGGGAGGCAGCAGUGGGGAAUAUUGCACAAUGGGCGAAAGCCUGAUGCAGCGACGCCGCGUGAGGGAUGACGGCCUUCGGGUUGUAAACCUCUUUCGCUCAUGGUCAAGCCGCAGCUUUGGGUUGUGGUGAGGGUAGUGGGUAAAGAAGCGCCGGCUAACUACGUGCCAGCAGCCGCGGUAAUACGUAGGGCGCGAGCGUUGUCCGGAAUUAUUGGGCGUAAAGGGCUUGUAGGCGGUUGGUCGCGUCUGCCGUGAAAUCCUCUGGCUUAACUGGGGGCGUGCGGUGGGUACGGGCUGACUUGAGUGCGGUAGGGGAGACUGGAACUCCUGGUGUAGCGGUGGAUGCGCAGAUAUCAGGAAGAACACCGGUGGCGAAGGCGGGUCUCUGGGCCGUUACUGACGCUGAGGAGCGAAAGCGUGGGGAGCGAA